AAACUGAAGAGUUUGAUCCUGGCUCAGAUUGAACGCUGGCGGCAUGCCUUACACAUGCAAGUCGAACGGCAG
RNAcentral lists this ribosomal RNA (72 nucleotides) under Burkholderia ambifaria. RNAcentral's name for it is "partial 16S ribosomal RNA". It matches the Rfam family "Bacterial small subunit ribosomal RNA", at positions 1 to 72 of the family's 1533-position model. Lineage: Bacteria; Pseudomonadati; Pseudomonadota; Betaproteobacteria; Burkholderiales; Burkholderiaceae. The record is from RNAcentral.